This 427-nucleotide ribosomal RNA is filed under the name uncultured Staphylococcaceae bacterium. RNAcentral's name for it is "bacterial SSU rRNA". It matches the Rfam family "Bacterial small subunit ribosomal RNA", at positions 355 to 774 of the family's 1533-position model. Lineage: Bacteria; Bacillati; Bacillota; Bacilli; Caryophanales; Staphylococcaceae. The record is from RNAcentral.
UAGGGAAUCUUCCGCAAUGGGCGCAAGCCUGACGGAGCAACGCCGCGUGUGUGAAGAAGGUCUUCGGAUCGUAAAGCACUGUUGUUAAGGAAGAACGACAGUAAGAGUAACUGCUUACUGUGUGACGGUACUUAACCAGAAAGCCACGGCUAACUACGUGCCAGCAGCCGCGGUAAUACGUAGGUGGCAAGCGUUAUCCGGAAUUAUUGGGCGUAAAGCGCGCGUAGGCGGCGAGAUUAGUCUGAUGUGAAAGCCCCCGGCUCAACCGGGGAAGGUCAUUGGAAACUGUUUCGCUUGAGUGCAGAAGAGGAGAGUGGAAUUCCAUGUGUAGCGGUGAAAUGCGCAGAGAUAUGGAGGAACACCAGUGGCGAAGGCGGCUCUCUGGUCUGCAACUGACGCUGAUGUGCGAAAGCGUGGGGAUCAAACA